CAGUACCUAGUAAAGAAGCCCCGGCUAACUCCCUGCCAGCAGCCGCGGUAAUACGGAGGGGGCUAGCGUUGUUCGGAAUUACUGGGCGUAAAGCGUACGUAGGCGGAUCANAAAGUAGGGGGUGAAAUCCCAGGGCUUAACCCUGGAACUGCCUCCUAAACUCCUGGUCUUGAGUUCGAGAGAGGUAAGUGGAAUUCCAAGUGUAGAGGUGAAAUUCGUAGAUAUUUGGAGGAACACCAGUGGCGAAGGCGGCUUACUGGCUCGAUACUGACGCUGAGGUACGAAAGUGUGGGGAGCAAACAGGAUUAGAUACCCUGGUAGUCCACACCGUAAACGAUGAAUGCCAGUCGUCGGGUAGCAUGCUAUUCGGUGACACACCUAACGGAUUAAGCAUUCCGCCUGGGGAGUACGGUCGCAAGAUUAAAACUCAAAGGAAUUGGCGG
RNAcentral lists this ribosomal RNA (443 nucleotides) under uncultured bacterium. Its description in RNAcentral is "bacterial SSU rRNA". It matches the Rfam family "Bacterial small subunit ribosomal RNA", at positions 473 to 916 of the family's 1533-position model. The record is from RNAcentral.